GCGGGGGUGGCAGAGCCUGGUCAAAUGCGCUAGCUUGAGGGGCUAGUUCCUUAGUGGAUGCGAGGGUUCGAAUCCCUUCCCCCGCA
RNAcentral lists this transfer RNA (86 nucleotides) under Candidatus Woesearchaeota archaeon. Its description in RNAcentral is "tRNA-Leu". It matches the Rfam family "tRNA". From Rfam's summary of the family: Transfer RNA (tRNA) molecules are approximately 80 nucleotides in length. Their secondary structure includes four short double-helical elements and three loops (D, anti-codon, and T loops). Lineage: Archaea; Nanobdellati; Candidatus Woesearchaeota. The record is from RNAcentral.